Molecule: ribosomal RNA, 440 nt
Filed under: Parasergestes vigilax
Lineage: Eukaryota; Metazoa; Arthropoda; Malacostraca; Decapoda; Sergestidae
Description: partial large subunit ribosomal RNA
Rfam family: Bacterial large subunit ribosomal RNA
Source: RNAcentral
UCUUUUAAUUGAAGGCUUGUAUGAAUGGCCGGACAAAAAGUGAGCUGUCUCCAAUUGUUAAAAUUGAAUUUGACCUUUAAGUGAAAAGGCUUAAAUAAUACAAAGUGACGAUAAGACCCUAUAAAGCUUUAAAGCAAAUUAUUUUUCAGAAUAAAUUAUUAAAUCCAUAUAACUUAAUUUAAAAGAAAGCUUUUUUGUUGGGGCGACAAAAAUAUAAAUAAGUAACUGUUUUUGUAAACAAAAAACAGUGAUAACUGGAGUAUAAAAUGAUCCUUUACUAAAGACUAAAAGGUUAAGUUACUUUAGGGAUAACAGCGUAAUCUUCUUUGAGAGUCCAAAUCGACAAGAAGGGUUGCGACCUCGAUGUUGAAUUAAGGUUCCUUUAUGGUGUAGCAGUUAUAAUAGGAGGUCUGUUCGACCUUUAAAUCCUUACAUGAUUU